GUGCUCACUUCAGCAACAUAUACACUUAAAGUGAAAUGAUAUGGACAAGGUCAACAUGGCUCCUGUGCAAGGAUGACAUGCAAAUUGAGGAAAGAGUCCAUAAUUUU
Molecule: small nuclear RNA, 107 nt
Organism: Heterocephalus glaber (naked mole-rat)
Lineage: Eukaryota; Metazoa; Chordata; Mammalia; Rodentia; Bathyergidae
Source: Ensembl